ACAGCUUCAUAAUCAAUGCAAUGUCUCGUGUGUUGUUUGGGGGGGCUAAGGCUGCCAGGGUACCCGGUCGGCUGGCGGGAAGGCUACAGGUUACAGUCUUGCCUGAGCUGCAACUGGCAAUACAGUUACUGGGGCCCCGAGGGAGCUGUGGACGGAGGCUCACAGCACCCAACGAUCCCCUGGUUCUCAUUCUGACAACACAGCGGAGUUCGGCACAGACCUGCAUUGCCAGCACAUCACAAGUCAGACUGUCGCGCGGACUACGCAUGCGCGUUACCCAGCGGAGUUCAGCACAGACCUACACCGCCAGCACAUCACAGUCCCCAGAGAACAGCGUGACUCCAGAUGCGGUGCAGGAGAGGCCCACGGAGGCUCAGGGUGACACCCAGGAGAUUCCAGCCCAUGAGAAGAAACCCAGGAGAGAAGUGAGAUGGGGUGGAGCCAUCCCCAGAUGUCUCUGUCCCAGAAGAAAGGGCGGAGGGCUCAACAGGCGAGCUUCCCCGGAGCUCAGGAGUGGGCCGCCAGAGCCGCAGCCAUUCUCUAUGAGGGUUUCUUCAUAGACAUAAUAAACUCAUUGACCAAGCAGCUAAAACAAACGAACGAAUCAUAAGUAAAACGCGGCAGGCAAGGCAGGUGCAGACAGCACCAUGAAGCCGAGUACGCCUUCCCUUACCUUCCCUUUUCCAUUGUUACUCAAAUCGCUGGGAUAAUUUUCUUUUGCUCAUAUUUUGGGCUGAUUAUAUCUAUUUUUCCGGUUCUAA
Mesocricetus auratus (golden hamster) is the source of this 761-nucleotide long non-coding RNA. RefSeq lists it as uncharacterized. The transcript is spliced from 2 exons. The record is from RefSeq and is a predicted model, not a curated record. NCBI's taxonomy places the organism in Eukaryota, Metazoa, Chordata, Mammalia, Rodentia, Cricetidae.